UCCGAUUUUGCCUGUGGUGGUUGAAGGUUUGGCAGUUGGCAGUUCUUAAAUUGAAACUAAAUGUACGCCUAACUUACUCUGUAGACGGAUUUCGACUGCGCAAAUGUUUUUUCUAAAGACUCGGUCCUUCUAUAUAUAUAGGCCACACGGAACGAGUUCAGGAAGCAUGUGCUCAUGGCUAUAUGUGCAUUCCGCACAUGGUACCACCACGACACGAGGCAGCUCAUGGCUCUCGUGCGCUGGGUGUGCUUCCAUUUGGGCACGCCUACUCAGCUCACUGCCCACUUAAGAGGUGGAAUGCAGACGCUGGGGUAGCCGAGGUGGGACUAAAACAGAGGAAACUCUGGCCAUUCUGCUGCUCUGUUCGUGACUGAGGACUGAAGGCCGUGGGUAGUGAGCAGCUGCUGUUGGGCUGGGCCGCAUGGAGGAACGGCUGUCUGAAGUAGGCAUAUCUUGAGCAUAUGGAUAGGAUAGGAAACAAGCAUUCGGUUUCAGCAUACGCUCUUGGAAUUCCAUGGCGCGCCGGCAAACGAUAUUUUAUCAUGCUACAGACAAUCUUCUCUCAAAAAGAAAAAAGCAACCUUGUUGUGAACAGAGAGCAGUAAUGCAGGCAGCACCAAAUGCUGGCCGGCGUCGCAGUCAUGCACAUGCGCAUAUCAUCGUCAAAGGUUAGUGCCAUGUACAGUUAAAUAGGAAAAGCAUCAAACGUUUGUAACACAUAUAAACAGAGUAGAAAAAAAAGAAAAAGAUUGCCCAGCAUAUUUGACAUAUGCGUGCUUAUCUAGACGGUGGCCACAAUCAUUAAUCCUUGAGUUUCUAUGCUGAGUGUGCAUGCCGCACACGGAACCACCACAACACGGGGCACCUCACGGCGCUCGUGUGUCUGGUGUGCCUUCAUUCUGGCACGCCUACUGAGCUGACUGCUCACUUAAGAGGUGGUUCUCACACCACUGAGUGGCCGAGGUGGGACUAAAGAACCAGGAAACUAUGGCCAUUCCCAUUCGCGAGGAGGGGCUGAGGUCUGAAGGCUGUGUGGGCUGUGAGCAGCAGCUGCUGGGCUGGGCCGCAUUGAGGAAUGGUGAGCUGGGUCUGCGAAAUGUAAUUUACUCUGUCCAGAACACUGCGGGUGCACUUCACUAUGCCACGUUCAACACUGGUGGAUUACGAUAAUCUCACCCGCAAAAAAAAGAGAUAAUCUAGCUUAUCCAACGAUCUUAUAUUAGUUUACAAAGAGAGUGUAUGAGUAUAUCGCAACACAGUUCAGCAAACGCAGACUGACCAGUUUUUACCUAUUUUGGUGUAAAUUUAACCCACUUGUCUCUAGUUUUUGAAGUGAAGAUAAAACCUAUCUCUAGUUUCGUGACUAUUUUUUCAUAGCACGUUGUACCGUGAACUGAGCCUGACUGGAGAAGAAAUCUACACAAGUACGUGAUUGAAACUCCACA
Triticum aestivum (bread wheat) is the source of this 1445-nucleotide long non-coding RNA. RefSeq lists it as uncharacterized. NCBI's taxonomy places the organism in Eukaryota, Viridiplantae, Streptophyta, Magnoliopsida, Poales, Poaceae. The transcript is spliced from 3 exons. The record is from RefSeq and is a predicted model, not a curated record.